RNAcentral lists this ribosomal RNA (253 nucleotides) under uncultured bacterium. RNAcentral's name for it is "partial 16S ribosomal RNA". It matches the Rfam family "Bacterial small subunit ribosomal RNA", at positions 524 to 776 of the family's 1533-position model. The record is from RNAcentral.
UACGUAGGUGGCGAGCGUUGUCCGGAUUUACUGGGCGUAAAGCGCGCGCAGGCGGCAGUCUAAGUCCUCUGUGAAAUCACCCGGCUCAACUGGGUGGCUGCGGAGGAGACUGGGCAGCUUGAGGGGCCUAGAGGCCGGUGGAACUCCCGGUGUAGUGGUGAAAUGCGUAGAGAUCGGGAAGAACACCAGUGGCGAAGGCGGCCGGCUGGGGGCGCCCUGACGCUGAGAGACGAAAGCUAGGGGAGCAAAUGGG